This is a long non-coding RNA of Gorilla gorilla gorilla (western lowland gorilla), 1533 nucleotides long. RefSeq lists it as uncharacterized. Lineage: Eukaryota; Metazoa; Chordata; Mammalia; Primates; Hominidae. The transcript has 3 exons. The record is from RefSeq and is a predicted model, not a curated record.
AGAAACAAAACCAGAGGAGAAGAAUGGAGCUGGAUCGUCUGUGAAGACCCUGCCAGGCUGCAAAGAAGCAGCACUCGUAAUGCAGAGAAUGCAGCUGGAGGAGCUCUUUGAUUUAACUGUUGUUACUGAAAUCUGUGCAGCAUCAAGUGACUUAGAACAGGAAGUUAUCUUAGAAUUCUGGAAAGAUUCAAGAAUGUAUGUCUUCCUACUAGAUUGUAAGCUUGUCGGGGCCACAUCUAUCCUGUUUACUACUGAAUCCCAGCUGGCAGAAAGUAGACAUUUCACAAUAUUUUUGGAGCAAAUGCAUCAAUCAGACCAUCAUGUGUAAGGGAGGUCACAGGAUGAAGGAACAGUGUAGUGACCUGGAACACCAUGCCACGCUGCUGCAACUGUGUCGGUCCGUGGCUGUGUGUGCGUGCUCUGCACCCCUAGAUGAACUCACCAAACAGCAUCUACGGAAAAGCCCAUGGAACUGUUGCUGCCAAGCAAAGGUGAUUAAAUUUCUGUUUUUCAGUGGACUCCAUAUCUGUGUCAUCCAAGACGCUUACUGUUGACAUAAACCUGCUGCAUACGUAAGACUCUACUCAAUUUAUUUAAUUCUACAAAAGCUUACUGAAUAUUUUCUAUUCUAAUUGUGCUAGCAUUAUGAUCACAUCACAGGAGUCAAGGUAUUUGGAUGCAAUAUUUUGUUUUCUAGUCAUUCCUUUUUUUCUUUUUUUUUUUUUUUGAGAUGGUGUUUCACUCUUGUUGCCCAGGCUGGAGUGCAGUGGUGCAGUCUCAGCUCACUGCAACCUCCGCCUCCUGGGUUCAAGGAAUUCUCCUGCCUCAACCUCCCGAGUAGCUGGGACUACAGGUGCCCACCACCACACCUGGCUAAUUUUUGUAUUUUUAAUAGAAAUGAGGCUUCACCAUGUUGGCCAGGCUGGCCUCAAACUCCUGACCUCAGGUGAUCUGUCUGCCUCGGCCUCCCAAAGUGCUGGGAUUACAAACGUGAGCCACAGCGCCCGACUCAUUUCUUUAUUCAACAAAUAAUGUGAAGCUUUCACUAUAAGAUCAUAAGACACUGCUCUAACUACCACAGGAGGAAAAAGGGAUCAAUACAUUUCUGAUUUCAUAGAAAUAUAAUUUAGUUAGGGAGAUAAGAUAUGCAGACAUAACAUGUUUAACAUCAACACUGAAGUUUAAUAGCAACAUGAGCCAAUUAUAUAAAAACUCUUCUAUGAUUAAGUCACAUCAUCCUGGGCUUUUCCAGGCUCUCCCUGGGUCGGUGGGUUCACCCUCACAGGAAGCCGGGUUGUGCCAAAAGGAAAGUUUCAGAAAUAGGCUAGUGUUUGAAAAUGGGGCAAGUUCCUAGCCUCAACUGCUUCAUCUUAUAUACUCAUAGAGUGAUGGAGAAAUGUGUGUCUCCCUCUUUACCCCUCCCUUUUGUGUAGAAAAUGCCCUCAGUGGGCUCAGUGGGUAUCAGUGCCACAGGUGAACAUAGUAACCCUGACAGUCCCUUACAAGGUUGGCAGCGUGAAGCAGCACCUACCA